AUUCCAUGAUGAGGAAAAUUUUGAAGCAUCUCUUUGUAGCGUUUCCAAGCUUCACAUAAAGUUUCACCAGACUGCUAAAAAUAUUGAGUGAGAGCAUUCCUGAUUGC
This is a non-coding RNA of Daucus carota subsp. sativus, 107 nucleotides long. The record is from Rfam. NCBI's taxonomy places the organism in Eukaryota, Viridiplantae, Streptophyta, Magnoliopsida, Apiales, Apiaceae.